This 452-nucleotide long non-coding RNA is filed under the name Phaseolus vulgaris (common bean). Its description in RNAcentral is "long non-coding RNA (PVUL_LNC001991)". The record is from RNAcentral. Lineage: Eukaryota; Viridiplantae; Streptophyta; Magnoliopsida; Fabales; Fabaceae.
CAACAAGCAUAGGCAAGCCUAAGAUGGUUAUAUAUGGUGGCACUUGAAGGCAUGGGACUGAACAAGAAUCCGCUACAUCAGCCCAGAAAAAUAGUUUGCAUAUACUGAAUAACUAUCAAUCAUAUAAAAGGAAAUUUAAACCUAUUAAUCAAAUGAAUCUCCACAUCAUCUUGAAAAUGAUAAUUGAGACAUUUCCUUUCAAAUGCAGCUAAAAAACGAAAGGGAAGAGUAGAUAAAUAUAGCAAGUUCUUACAAAUCAAGUGUGGCAAAGCAAAUGAUUUGAUAUCAUACAGCUUGCACAAUCAACUAUGCAAGUAUAAGCUAUUCAUAGUCAUAGUGUUUAACCUUAAAAGAAAGUGCCAGUUGUUUUCUUCUGAUAACAUUUCUAGUUCAUAUUUCACCUAGUAUCACAAUACCACGUACCAAUCCCACCAAUAUUGAACAACUUGAAA